GCUGAAAUUUGUCUUCCUUGGAGUCGGGUUUCCCGCUCUAGUGGAACUAGAUGGGUGUUGCCUCCUCCAAGAUGCAUAAGGAGUUCGCAAAGGGAAUUGGAACGGCCUUGACCCUGUCCAUGAACUCAAUACCCAAGGCGAGUGGAUAAUCAUCCAUGGUCACGAUCGAGAAGUUUAUGUGGCCGUGCCAAUUGCCUAAGU
RNAcentral lists this long non-coding RNA (201 nucleotides) under Nicotiana benthamiana. RNAcentral describes it as "long non-coding RNA (NBEN_LNC000036)". The record is from RNAcentral. Lineage: Eukaryota; Viridiplantae; Streptophyta; Magnoliopsida; Solanales; Solanaceae.